CGCACUUUUGCAGAAAACCCCCUACCGUUUUCUUUAAUCAACCCGCACUCACCUCCCAUAAUUUUGUUCCCAGGUGUUCCCUAUCAUGAUCUGAGCUCAGCAAACAACUCAACCGGUCCCAUGUUCGAUCGUUAUAGUAGCGGCCCGGGUGGUUUGUUCACACAGAACAAGAUGAGGAGGUGUAACCCUGUGGCUUUCGGCAUGACACCGGCUGUCAAGGUCUAGAAUGUUUGUCUGAAUGCCUGCGCUCCACAGCCAACCCACUGCACCAGAUGCUGAUGGUCGUUGAGUUUGGAUCUUCGCCGUUUGAUGUUGGCAUGGAACAUGAGGAGAGCGACGACGAGUUGUCAUUAGUCUUCUUAUAUAUGAAGCUGUGCAGCAGUGCGGAGACAAGAAGGAACUCGGCGGACAAUGGUUCCGCCACACUAUUCCUUUCCUCGUGGAGGUGACAGGGCACCGGUUUAGAGUUUGGUUCGAGUACACGGUUGACUUCAGCUUCAUGUGCAUGGAAGGCGCCGUUCGAUGCUUCAACGAGAAGGACCGUGUCAUGAGUUGGAACCAGCCAGUGUGGAGGCUGCUGGUCUCUCUUCAAGUUUGGGUACGUGCACUGGUGAACAGGAGCCGUAGUGCGUGCUGUCCCAUGGUACAAAAA
This is a non-coding RNA of Aegilops tauschii subsp. strangulata, 652 nucleotides long. NCBI's taxonomy places the organism in Eukaryota, Viridiplantae, Streptophyta, Magnoliopsida, Poales, Poaceae. The record is from RefSeq and is a predicted model, not a curated record.